Molecule: ribosomal RNA, 229 nt
Filed under: uncultured bacterium
Lineage: Bacteria
Description: partial 16S ribosomal RNA
Rfam family: Bacterial small subunit ribosomal RNA
Source: RNAcentral
CGCGUAGGCGGUCUUGUCGGUCAGAUGUGAAAGCCCAGGGCUCAACCCUGGACGUGCAUUUGAAACAGCAAGACUUGAGUACGGGAGAGGAAAGCGGAAUUCCUGGUGUAGAGGUGAAAUUCGUAGAUAUCAGGAGGAACACCGAUGGCGAAGGCAGCUUUAUGGACCGAUACUGACGCUGAGGCGCGAAGGCGUGGGUAGCGAACAGGAUUAGAUACCCUGGUAGUCC